Oncorhynchus tshawytscha (Chinook salmon) is the source of this 1656-nucleotide long non-coding RNA. Lineage: Eukaryota; Metazoa; Chordata; Actinopteri; Salmoniformes; Salmonidae. The record is from Ensembl.
UGUUGUUGCUCGUGAUGACUCCCGGAGGUGCAGUUGGCUUUAGGUCAUCCUUUCACCCAUGGUGGUAUUGUUGUUGCUCGUGAUGACUCCCGGAGGUGCAGUUGGCUUUAGGUCAUCCUUGGAUCAGAAGAAAGAUUGACCUGAGCUUGUCUUUUUUUUUUUUUUUACAAAUACUAUUUGAACCCAGGUCUGCUUGGUUUAUCCAGACAGUACCAAAGCCUGGACCUAAUCCCUCACAGAGAAGAACCAUAUUACAAUCUAAUCUAUCUAUGAUACUGUUUAUUCAUAGUGGGAGUUUUUCCCUGUCAGAAUCUGUAAUGCCACUUCGGGAAUAGGAGUACAGUAUUACACUCAGUAUUACACUCAGCAGUACACUCAGUAGUAGUACACUCAGCAGUACACUCAGUAGUAGUACACUCAGCAGUACACUCAGUAGUAGAACACUCAGCAGUACACUCAGUAGUAGUACACUCAGUAGUAGUACACUCAGUAGUAGUUCACUCAGCAGUACACUCAGUAGUAGUUCACUCAGCAGUACACUCAGUAGUAGAACACUCAGCAGUAGUACACUCAGUAGUAGUACACUCAGUAGUAGUACACUCAGUAGUAGUACACUCAGUAGUAGUACACUCAGUAGCAGUACACUCAGUAGUAGUACACUCAGUAGUAGUACACUCAGUAGUAGUACACUCAGUAGUAGUACACUCAGUAGUAGUACACUCAGUAGUAGUUCACUCAGCAGUACACUCAGUAGUAGUUCACUCAGCAGUACACUCAGUAGUAGUACACUCAGUAGUACACUCAGCAGUACACUCAGUAGUAGUACACUCAGUAGUACACUCAGCAGUACACUCAGUAGUAGUUCACUCAGCAGUACACUCAGUAGUAGUACACUCAGUAGUACACUCAGCAGUACACUCAGUAGUAGUACACUCAGCAGUACACUCAGUAGUAGUACACUCAGUAGUAGUACACUCAGUAGUACACUCAGCAUACACUCAGUAGUAGUUCACUCAGCAGUACACUCAGUAGUAGUUCACUCAGCAGUACACUCAGUAGUAGUACACUCAGCAGUACACUCAGUAGUACACUCAGUAGUAGUACACUCAGCAUACACUCAGUAGUAGUUCACUCAGCAGUACACUCAGUAGUAGUACACUCAGCAGUACACUCAGCAGUAGUUCACUCAGCAGUACACUCAGUAGUAGUUCACUCAGCAGUACACUCAGUAGUAGUUCACUCAGCAGUACACUCAGUAGUAGUACACUCAGUAGUACACUCAGCAGUACACUCAGUAGUAGUACACUCAGUAGUAGUACACUCAGCAGUACACUCAGUAGUAGUACACUCAGUAGUACACUCAGCAUACACUCAGUAGUAGUUCACUCAGCAGUACACUCAGUAGUAGUACACUCAGCAGUACACUCAGUAGUAGUACACUCAGUAGUAGUACACUCAGCAGUACACUCAGUAGUAGUACACUCAGCAGUACACUCAGUAGUAGUACACUCAGCAGUACACUCAGUAGUACACUCAGCAGUACACUCAGUAGUAGUACACUCAGUAGUACACUCAGUAGUACACUCAGUAGUAGUAGUACACUCAGUAGUACACUCAGUAGUACACUCAGUAGUAGUAGUACACUCAGUAGUAGUA